GACGAACGCUGGCGGCGUGCUUAACACAUGCAAGUCGAACGGUGAAGCGCCUUCCUUUUUGGUGGGUGUGGAUGAGUGGCGAACGGGUGAGUAACACGUGAGUAACCUGCCCCCUUCUUCUGGAUAACCGCAUGAAAGUGUGGCUAAUACGGGAUAUUCUGGUUCUGUCGCAUGAUGGGUCUGUGAAAGAUAUUGUUUCGGUGGGGGAUGGGCUCGCGGCCUAUCAGCUUGUUGGUGGGGUGAUGGCCUACCAAGGCGGUGACGGGUAGCCGGCCUGAGAGGGUGGACGGUCACACUGGGACUGAGACACGGCCCAGACUCCUACGGGAGGCAGCAGUGGGGAAUAUUGCACAAUGGGCGCAAGCCUGAUGCAGCGACGCCGCGUGAGGGAUGGAGGCCUUCGGGUUGUGAACCUCUUUCGCCAGUGAAGCAGGCCUGCCUCGUUUGUGGGUGGGUUGACGGUAGCUGGAUAAGAAGCGCCGGCUAACUACGUG
Molecule: ribosomal RNA, 494 nt
Filed under: uncultured bacterium
Lineage: Bacteria
Description: partial 16S ribosomal RNA
Rfam family: Bacterial small subunit ribosomal RNA
Source: RNAcentral